CAAAUUUGAAAUCUGGCGCAAGCCCGAGUUGUAAUUUGCAGAGGAUGUUUCGGGUGAAGCCACGGUCCAAGUCCCUUGGAACAGGACGUCAUAGAGGGUGAGAACCCCGUACCUGGCCGUCGGUGCCCCCCGCUGUGAAACUCCUUCGACGAGUCGAGUUGUUUGGGAAUGCAGCUCUAAAUUGGUGGUAAAUUCCAUCUAAAGCUAAAUACCGGCCAGAGACCGAUAGCGCACAAGUAGAGUGAUCGAAAGAUGAAAAGCACUUUGAAAAGAGAGUUAAAAAGUACGUGAAAUUGUUGAAAGGGAAGCGCUUGCGGCCAGACUUGCCCGCGGUUGCUCAGCCCGCCUUUUGGCGGGUGCACUCUUCCGCGGUCAGGCCAGCAUCGGUUUGGGCGGUCGGAUAAAGGCGUCGGGAACGUGGCCUCCCCUCGGGGAGGUGUUAUAGCCCGGCGCGCAAUGCGGCCAGCCCGGACCGAGGUUCGCGCUUUGCUAGGAUGCUGGCGUAAUGGCCGUAAGCGGCCCGUCUUGAAACACGGACCAAGGAGUCUAACAUCUAUGCGAGUGUUUGGGUGUCAAACCCGUGCGCGUAAUGAAAGUGAACGGAGGUGGGAACCGCAAGGUGCACCAUCGACCGAUCCUGAUGUCUUCGGAAGGAUUUGAGUAAGAGCAUAGCUGUUGGGACCCGAAAGAUGGUGAACUAUGCGUGAAUAGGGUGAAGCCAGAGGAAACUCUGGUGGAGGCUCGCAGCGGUUCUGACGUGCAAAUCGAUCGUCAA
This 775-nucleotide ribosomal RNA is filed under the name Venturia inaequalis. RNAcentral describes it as "partial large subunit ribosomal RNA". It matches the Rfam family "Eukaryotic large subunit ribosomal RNA", at positions 110 to 908 of the family's 3401-position model. Lineage: Eukaryota; Fungi; Ascomycota; Dothideomycetes; Venturiales; Venturiaceae. The record is from RNAcentral.